RNAcentral lists this ribosomal RNA (245 nucleotides) under uncultured bacterium. RNAcentral describes it as "partial small subunit ribosomal RNA". It matches the Rfam family "Bacterial small subunit ribosomal RNA", at positions 26 to 285 of the family's 1533-position model. The record is from RNAcentral.
AGAAUCAACGCUGGCGGCGUGCCUAACACAUGCAAGUCGCACGAGAAAGGGGAGCAAUCCCUGGGUAAAGUGGCGCACGGGUGAGUAACACGUGAAUCAUCUACCUUCGAGUGGGGAAUAACUGGGAGAAAUCUCAGCUAACACCGCAUAAUACCUACGGGUCAAAGCAGCAAUGCGCUUGAAGAGGAGUUCGCGGCAGAUUAGUUAGUUGGCGGGGUAAUGGCCCACCAAGACGAUGAUCUGUA